ACGAGUUAGGGUCUUCUCAGGCCCGAUCUCCCAACCCUUUGUUUACCGAACCACCGUUGCUUCGGCGGGCCCGUCUUCGCUGACCGCCGGGGGACUGCUCAAACCGUCCUCUGGUCCGCGCCCGCCGGUGGCCAACUUCAACCAAAUUCUUCAAUAACCGUGUCUACUGAGUACCAUAUCAAAAUUAAAAGCA
RNAcentral lists this unclassified non-coding RNA (193 nucleotides) under uncultured Herpotrichiellaceae. RNAcentral describes it as "sequence contains ITS1". Lineage: Eukaryota; Fungi; Ascomycota; Eurotiomycetes; Chaetothyriales; Herpotrichiellaceae. The record is from RNAcentral.